This 21-nucleotide non-coding RNA is filed under the name Caenorhabditis elegans. The record is from RNAcentral. Lineage: Eukaryota; Metazoa; Nematoda; Chromadorea; Rhabditida; Rhabditidae.
UACAAACAACAGUUUUUGUGA